This 166-nucleotide ribosomal RNA is filed under the name uncultured bacterium. Its description in RNAcentral is "partial 16S ribosomal RNA". It matches the Rfam family "Bacterial small subunit ribosomal RNA", at positions 1335 to 1500 of the family's 1533-position model. The record is from RNAcentral.
CUAGUAAUCGCAGAUCAGCAUGCUGUGGUGAAUACGUUCCCGGGCCUUGUACACACCGCCCGUCACACCAUGGGAGUCGGUAACACCCAAAGUUGGUAGUCUAACCGCAAGGAGGACGCCGCCUAAGGUGGGAUUGAUGACUGGGGUGAAGUCGUAACAAGGUACC